Molecule: ribosomal RNA, 489 nt
Filed under: uncultured bacterium
Lineage: Bacteria
Description: partial 16S ribosomal RNA
Rfam family: Bacterial small subunit ribosomal RNA
Source: RNAcentral
GAUGAACGCUAGCGGCAGGCCUAAUACAUGCAAGUCGAACGGGAUCCAGAUCAAAGCUUGCUUUGGUCUGGUGAGAGUGGCGCACGGGUGCGUAACGCGUGAGCAACCUACCCUUGUCAGGGGGAUAGCCCGGCGAAAGUCGGAUUAAUACCGCAUGACAUCAUUGAGAGGCAUCUUUCGAUGAUCAAAGAUUUAUCGGACAAGGAUGGGCUCGCGUGACAUUAGCUAGUUGGUAAGGUAACGGCUUACCAAGGCUGCGAUGUCUAGGGGCUCUGAGAGGAGAAUCCCCAACACUGGUACUGGGCCACGGACCAGACUCCAACGGGAGGAAGCAGAAAGGAAAAUGGUCAAUGGACGGAAGUCUGAACCAGCCAUGCCGCGUGCAGGAGGACGGCCCUAUGGGUUGUAAACUGCUUUUAUACGGGAACAAACGUCGGUACGUGUACCGGUCUGAGUGUACCGUAAGAAUAAGGAUCGGCUAACUCCGUG